This is a non-coding RNA of Paramuricea clavata, 508 nucleotides long. The record is from the annotation of a GenBank genome assembly. Lineage: Eukaryota; Metazoa; Cnidaria; Anthozoa; Malacalcyonacea; Plexauridae.
ACUUAGUCUAGGACCCGUAUAUGAGUUUGUAUGCAUUUCAUUUAGGACAGAUAAUCUCAACUGUUUUAGGGUAAGUUCACCAUGACGGUCAACAUGGUAACGCUGCCCGAACCACAAUCUGGGACGAAACGUCCAAAACUGACCACACCCAAAAUCGACGCUUUCGACAUAGUGCUAUCUACCAAACCAUAAACGCCUUGCCUAUUCUGAGGAGCUUAUAUGGUUCAGAGAUGGUGCUUUUAGUGGUGGUCAUUGGUAAGCGGUAAUCUAACCUUUGGUGCGGAUGCAAAAGUCGAGUUCAACAGCUCCAACGUAAAAAACCCAUUGGUAUAUGAAUAAGAGUAAUUGCUGUCCAAAACCCAAACCAAAACCAGAGCCGAAAGAAAAACAAAAACCAAAGCCGGCGGAAGAUGUAAAAAAGAAAUAAAAAUGGGAGGCUUAUCCGCAAAACACGAAGACCUCAACGCACCGAAGUACGACAAAUACCAUCGAAAAAUGUUCAGCAUGG